Molecule: long non-coding RNA, 2676 nt
Filed under: Medicago truncatula (barrel medic)
Lineage: Eukaryota; Viridiplantae; Streptophyta; Magnoliopsida; Fabales; Fabaceae
Description: long non-coding RNA (MTRU_LNC005940)
Source: RNAcentral
GAUUCCUCAAAUCUUUCAUCUCUUGGUAUAUACAUAGGAAGUGGCUUCUCCACACGACUCUCACAAGUAAUAUCUACAGCACCAUCCAAUUCAAUUUUGCUUAGUUAUUUAGAAUUUCCAUAAAGUGAAUGAGUCGGGGUUCAAAUUUAGGAAAUCUAAUAUCGCACUUUAAAGGAUAGAAAUGUAGUUUAACACCCUACUAAAGGAUAUAAUGCAAAAUUCAUUAAUCAUUUAGUAGUGUAAAAUUGCUUAUUUAAUUAAUUAUUACCUGUAUCAGAUGGUUCACGGCCAGUACGACACCGUCUAGGGUAUGGAUACAUUUCAGAUCCGCCAAGAGUUGGUCUAGCAAGAUCAAUUCCUCUAUCUGGGUUUCCAAGAUCAUUGUAUGUGUCAUAAUCAUAAAUUCUGUCAGAUAAUUUUCUAACUCCUUUUCCAUCACCUCUCAGAUUUUUCAGGUCUUUCUCCCUCAAAAGUUUAAUCCCAGCAGGUGUAUCAUCGGGUAGAUAAGGCUGUUCAAAGUAAAUCAAACAUAUGUUACCACUUUAUUCCGAAAAGAAUAUAUACUAUACUUGAUCUUAGUCGAAAGAUCGAGAAAGGUAAAUGUUACCAUUUUAUUUUUAUAUUUAAGGAAUGUUGCCACUUUAUUAGUUGUAAUAAAUUAACAUUAGGGAAAUGCCGAAUAGUAUCGAGGGUAAUAUUAUUUCACCACAUUCACCCUCGAUCAUAAGGAGUAUUUGUAAUAGUCAGAAAAAUAAGAGGAAUGCGAGAGAUAUUAUUUUCUAACACUUUAUAAUAUUCAUCUUUUAUUAGAUGAAAUUAAUCUAUAUCCUAGUACCAUUUUAAGAAGACCAAUUUUUAAGUUGUGAAACUCACCUUCAUUUAAACAUAUAAAGGAGUGAGUGUUAGAAAGCGUUCAACUGUCUAAAAAAUAAAGAUAAAGACUAGUAGUAUUCUUUUUCUUGACAAGUACUGCUAUUAUUUAAUUCAACGGUUUCUUUGCCCAAUUCAUACCGGUAGGUCAAUUCAAUGGUGCUUGGUCCAUGCAUAAAUUUUCUAGCUUAAUUGUUUAUUAAUACUAUAUCACUUUAUCACGGAUAAUUAAUUAAAAAAUGCAAUGAUAUAUAACACUAAUUAUAAAAUCACGGACUGUUUGGUUUUGGCACCUAAAAUAUUAAAUAACAUUCAAUAUUUUUACGGUAAAAAAUGAACUUUUGGAAUUCUUGUCCCUUUUCAAGAUUCUUCAAAAGAAAAAUUAUUAUACCUUUUAACUUCCAAUUUUCUCCUUAUUUCUCACGUUGAAAAAAUGAAUAAACAAAUAAUGUUGCCUUAUUAUACUAUUUCUUUGGCUGUACUAUUUUUUUUUCUUACUGGGCCAUGUUAUGAUGACAGAACGAAAAAUAUAAAAAACAAAAAAAGAGUUGAAGAAUUAAUUAUUAGAUACCUUAUUAGAAAAGAAAAUUCUCUUUCCAGGAAGAUCUUUUCUGGCUUGAACCCAAGAAUUGCAAGGAAAAUGAAAUGCUCCAGUUGCAAAUCCUUCAAUUGUUAUAUUUUCUAAGUAAAACUCUUGUUGAUGAUUAUUUAUCACAGUAAUUGCUCCUGGUUCUCCAAAAUUUGAAUCAACCGUAAAUUCAGCUGUGUAAUUAACUCUCUCAGCUUUAAUAUUAGUCUUCUUUGACCAAUCCUUCAACACUGCUUCAUUGGUCUUCUUUGCAGCGUUUGUUUCUGAAAGAUCACAACAUAAAAAUCACCAAUAAUUUAAUUCAGUUAUAAAUUUAAAGUUAAUCCAAAUAAAUUUCCAAAAAUAAUUAAAAUUGAUCAAAAUCAAAGAACAUUAAAUUAAAUUUAAAAGCUAUGAAGCACAGAUACGGACGGACACUAACAUGCCAACACCGCUAAUAAUUUCAUAAAAUUACAUAAUUCAGUGUAAUUACAAGUGUUGGUGUUGUAUCAGUGUCGGACACCGGGACACGUUAAAUCCGAUGAGUGACUGCGCUUCAUAGAUUAAAAGUAUAAAUUAAAUAUUGAUUUUUAAUUAACAGAAUGAAGAAAAGUCUUACUUGGAUCAAUCUCAGUGCUAAAAAGUUCAAGAACAACAUUUCGUCCAAUCCUAUCAGUAAAAGCAUCAAGAUGUUUCACAAAAGUCUCUUUGAAAUCCUCUUUGAUCUUGUUCCUCACUGUCACAACAGCUCUAACCUUAAAUUUCACUGGUUUCUCAGCAGGAACAGAAGAAGAAGAUGAUGAUAUAGAAGAAGAUGAAGAAGAGCUUUUCAUCAAAUCUUCACUGAUAGCUGCAACAGGGAACUUUGCAGAUUUUCUCAACCUGACAACUCUUUUGUUUCCAUAAGGAACAAAAACAGGACUGAUCAAGAAACUACCAUUCUUCUGUUGAAAACAUGGUGAAGAAGAAGGAAAUAUUGGUCUCUCUACCAAUGAAGAACCCAUGAAUUCUUUUGUUAGGGCCAUGAAUCAAUGGUUUCUUUGAGGUUUUUUCCUUCUUCUAAGGUUUUUUUGUUAAUUUUUAUGAAGAAGGUUUUGUUUCCUACGUUUGGUGAAAUGAAAGAAGAAGUGGAACAGUGAGAAAUAGUUAGUGGUUGUGUCGGUUUUAAUGUAAAUAGUUGGCUUAAGAAUUGUUUUAUAUAUAUACAAGUGAAGAAUACAAUUAGUCAAAAAAAUAAU